UAUGGGUUAGUGGCGGACGGGUGAGUAACGCGUGGGUAACCUGCCUUACACAGGGGGAUAACACUUAGAAAUAGGUGCUAAAACCGCAUAAGCGCACAGCUUCGCAUGAAGCGGUGUGAAAAACUCCGGUGGUGUAAGAUGGACCCGCGUCUGAUUAGCUUGUUGGCGGGGUAACGGCCCACCAAGGCGACGAUCAGUAGCCGGCCUGAGAGGGUGAACGGCCACAUUGGGACUGAGACACGGCCCAAACUCCUACGGGAGGCAGCAG
RNAcentral lists this ribosomal RNA (268 nucleotides) under uncultured bacterium. RNAcentral describes it as "partial 16S ribosomal RNA". It matches the Rfam family "Bacterial small subunit ribosomal RNA", at positions 86 to 354 of the family's 1533-position model. The record is from RNAcentral.